GGGGAAUCUUGCACAAUGGGCGAAAGCCUGAUGCAGCGACGCCGCGUGCGGGACGAAGGCCUUCGGGUUGUAAACCGCUUUCAGCAGGGACGAGGCGCAAGUGACGGUACCUGCAGAAGAAGCCCCGGCUAACUACGUGCCAGCAGCCGCGGUAAUACGUAGGGGGCGAGCGUUAUCCGGAUUCAUUGGGCGUAAAGCGCGCGUAGGCGGCCCGUUAGGUCGGGAGUCAAAUCCGGGGGCUCAACCCCCGCCCGCUCCCGAUACCGGCGGGCUUGAGUCUGGUAGGGGAAGGUGGAAUUCCAAGUGUAGCGGUGGAAUGCGCAGAUAUUUGGAAGAACACCGGUGGCGAAGGCGGCCUUCUGGGCCACGACUGACGCUGAGGCGCGAAAGCUAGGGGAGCGAAC
This 404-nucleotide ribosomal RNA is filed under the name uncultured bacterium. RNAcentral's name for it is "bacterial SSU rRNA". It matches the Rfam family "Bacterial small subunit ribosomal RNA", at positions 356 to 773 of the family's 1533-position model. The record is from RNAcentral.